GGAGAAAUCAAGUGGUAAGAGUCAAGAUGUCCAAAGAGAAUCAGAACCUCUGAGAGAAAAGGUUACCCAGCUUUUGCCUCAAAAUGUUCACAGUCCCAACUCAAUAAGCAAGCCCCAGAAAGGGGGACCCCUCAACAAGGAGUACACGAACUGGGAGGCUAAAGAAACAAAGGCAAAGGAUGGCCCUAGCACACAGGCCACCCAGAAAAGCCUGCCUCGGGGGCAUUUCCAAGAGCAGCUGGAGACCCACGGUGUGCCUGCUCCUGGAGGACCAGCGGCUCAGGCUGCACCAGCAGCACCAGGGCUUUCCCUGGGUGAGGGCCGUGAAGCUGCCACAAGCAGUGAUGACGAGGAGGAAGAUGAUGUUGUUUUUGUUUCCUCUAAGCCUGGGAGCCCCCUACUCUUUGACUCGACUCUGGACUUAGAGAUGAAGGAAAACCUCCAAUUCCCUGAUCGAAGUGUGCAAAGAAAGGUGUCUCCUGCCUCAGGUGUUUCCAAGAAGGUAGAACCCUCAGACCCAGUAGCCCGGCGUGUCUACCUUACGACACAACUGAAACAAAAGAAGAGCACACUGGCAUCAGUGAACAUCCAGGCUCUUCCAGACAAGGGUCAAAAGUUGAUCAAACAAAUCCAGGAGCUGGAGGAAGUACUCAGUGGUCUUGCCCUUUCCCCAGAGCAAGGUAAAGUGGCUUAUGCCUCAGAACUCCGGGUUUGCAUGGACUUUACAAGAGACAUUCGGGAAGCCCUUUUAAUAAAGAAUGUGUUGAUUCAUUCA
This 775-nucleotide small RNA is filed under the name Pongo abelii (Sumatran orangutan). Its description in RNAcentral is "processed transcript". The record is from RNAcentral. Lineage: Eukaryota; Metazoa; Chordata; Mammalia; Primates; Hominidae.